Molecule: long non-coding RNA, 247 nt
Organism: Amphimedon queenslandica
Lineage: Eukaryota; Metazoa; Porifera; Demospongiae; Haplosclerida; Niphatidae
Exons: 3
Source: RefSeq, a predicted model, not a curated record
CAGUACAAGUAAUACAUAUCACUCAGGUGAAUUCCAGCAGGCGAGUCCAUUGCACCAUAGUGCUUCAUUGGUGAGGUGAUGUCAAGGAAUAUUUUAUGCUUGAUUGCACUAAUGGAGUGGGCUAAAUCAAGAAGUAUAGGUUUGAAAGAUUACUUGACACUCAGAAUUUUUAUUUCUGUAGAAAUCAGCAAGGUCUUCAUUCUUCUAAAAUCAUCAGGGCUUGACUUUAAUUUGAAAUUGAAAUUUA